UUUAUGGAGAGUUUGAUCCUGGCUCAGGACGAACGCUGGCGGCGUGCCUAAUACAUGCAAGUCGAGCGGACUCU
RNAcentral lists this ribosomal RNA (74 nucleotides) under Paenibacillus arenosi. RNAcentral's name for it is "Paenibacillus sp. CAU 1523 partial 16S ribosomal RNA". It matches the Rfam family "Bacterial small subunit ribosomal RNA", at positions 1 to 74 of the family's 1533-position model. The record is from RNAcentral. Lineage: Bacteria; Bacillati; Bacillota; Bacilli; Caryophanales; Paenibacillaceae.